AUGCCUUAAACUUAGGAGUAAGCAAAAUAAUGACUCAGUGUGAUGUCCUAAAUCCUCACUGCUAAUGUGAGACAAAUUUUUGAGCUCGACAAGGUUUCUGCUAAAGUGAUCCACCUAAUUUGUGGGGUGCCUGGGAGUCGCAACCUGCUGU
RNAcentral lists this small nuclear RNA (151 nucleotides) under Canis lupus familiaris (dog). RNAcentral describes it as "U12 minor spliceosomal RNA (ENSCAFG00030011090.1)". It matches the Rfam family "U12 minor spliceosomal RNA". From Rfam's summary of the family: Although the U12 sequence is very divergent from that of U2, the two are functionally analogous. The record is from RNAcentral. Lineage: Eukaryota; Metazoa; Chordata; Mammalia; Carnivora; Canidae.